RNAcentral lists this ribosomal RNA (432 nucleotides) under uncultured bacterium. RNAcentral describes it as "partial 16S ribosomal RNA". It matches the Rfam family "Bacterial small subunit ribosomal RNA", at positions 29 to 506 of the family's 1533-position model. The record is from RNAcentral.
AACGAACGCUGGCGGCAUGCCUAACACAUGCAAGUCGAACGAGACCUUCGGGUCUAGUGGCGCACGGGUGCGUAACGCGUGGGAACAUGCCCUUAGGUUCGGCAUAACUACACGAAAGGGGUGCUAAUACCGGAUAAUGUCUUCGGACCAAAGAUUUAUCGCCUUUGGAUGGGCCCGCGUUGGAUUAGCUAGUUGGUAGGGUAAAAGCCUACCAAGGCGACGAUCCAUAGCUGGUCUGAGAGGAUGAUCAGCCACACUGGGACUGAGACACGGCCCAGACUCCUACGGGAGGCAGCAGGGGGGAAGAUGGGACAACGCGCGAAAGCCUGAGCCAGCAGGGCCGCGUGAGUGAUGAAGGCCGUAGGGUUGUAAAGCUCUUUUACCCGGGAUGAUAAUGACAGUACCGGGAGAAUAAGCACCGGCUAACUCCGG